This 21-nucleotide microRNA is filed under the name Arabidopsis lyrata. RNAcentral's name for it is "aly-miR163-5p.2". Its record names the gene aly-miR163-5p.2. Lineage: Eukaryota; Viridiplantae; Streptophyta; Magnoliopsida; Brassicales; Brassicaceae. The record is from miRBase by way of RNAcentral.
GACUUUAGCAACAACGAUUUC